Molecule: long non-coding RNA, 9050 nt
Filed under: Nicotiana tabacum (common tobacco)
Lineage: Eukaryota; Viridiplantae; Streptophyta; Magnoliopsida; Solanales; Solanaceae
Description: long non-coding RNA (NTAB_LNC008599)
Source: RNAcentral
CCAAUUCAAAAAUUUCACAUGCACACAGGCACGAAAAAGGGAAUUUUCGGAAUUUUCGGAAUUUUCAGUUUUUUAAGGAGUCCACACGAUUUUUCUCUGAUUUCUCUAAGACGUGAUCUCCAAGAAAAUGAAGAGAUACACUUAUAUAUUCAUUCAAGAACUGAAAGAAGAGGGGAUCAACGACAACAGUACAAACCCCACCCUAUCGUCUCUUUCAUGAAAAACCUGCAAAAAACCUUAAGACCUAGGAGUUGAGAGCUGAAACGGUCCACAAUAAAAGACUCUCACCCCAAUACAUGAGCUUCACCUUCCUUACAUCUAAGAAACCAUGAGAGGACCCUAGAACCUAGGAUCUCCAUCGCUACCACUCCACCGAUGGCCACACGCACACAGUGGCUCUUCCUCAUCACUGCACCUUCUGUUCAGCUACAUAAUGAGACCCCAUCAGCCUUCUUCUCCUUCUUCACAAAAAAAAAAACUUGAAAUACCCUAGAUCUAAUUAAAGUGACAAUCCCGCACCCAUAGAUGCAUAAACGGACAGAAGGGGAGGGGAGCGGACUGACUUGGCUACUAUAGUGAGAAAACAUCCAAGAUGUUUCAGUUUCUUCUAUUCCAUACCAUUUCAAAGAAGGAAAUUGCACCAGAAAUAGAGUUGGAGUUUCUUCUAACGGAGUUCAUUGUUUAAGCUCUCUUGGGUCUGAAUUCAUGCUUGUUUUAGUUUUCCGAUGCUGAUUUAUGAUCUUGUCUCGUCUUCAGCUUUUUGAUGCCAGUUCGAGGUCCGUCGUCGAAUUUUAUCACCAAUUAAAUGGUGUUAUUUAUGUGCUUCAUGUUGUUCAUGUGGUUGAUUCAUUAGUGGCACUAAAAUUCAACAUCCGUAGAGUUUAAUCAAUCAUAACGAGCUUGAAUAUUUGUUUUUCAAUAAUAUGAAUGCCCAUCGUUAAGUCUUGAUGCCUUUUAGUUUUCUUUUACCCUGUUGGUUCUCACGUUUUAGACUUGGUUCUUCUACACGGAUGGAAUGAUAAGACUUGAGUCAAAAUAAUAGUUGGACCAUUAUUGCUAAUUUACAUGGGUUGUAUGGUCACUUGGUUUAACUUAAUUGAAUAAGUAGUUGUACUACAUUUCUGGACCAUGGCCUAUUAGUCAAGGCAGUAGAGAUGUUUGUUUGUCUUUGAAAAUCAGAAAUUGGAUUAGAUAGGAGCAUCCGUAGGGGACUUUAUUUGAGUACAAUCUUUUGAAAUAGUUGGAGGCGUGCCAUAUUAAAUAAGCUUAGCUAUGACCCUCGAAUAAUAAAAUCCUUUGAAAUCAAAAUUCGAGGCGUGCCAUUUAGCAAAUUUUCAUGGCCCUCGCAAAGUUAAAAAUGCGUAGUUGCUUUAGGUGUGUUCUUUUAAUAAUUUACCUUCUUAAAUGCGGGUGCGCAUUUAUGUGACCCAAAUCCAAAAUCUCAACAAUGUUAAAAUAUGUCGAAGACCGCGGGUGCAUUUAUGUGACGUGGUUCAAGACGUGUUUUAAUAAUGUUGCAAUCUUCCUAAAAAUGAAUAAAGGUGGCUAUAAAGUUAAAACUUGCAUAUAGGUUCAUAAUUGUUUAAAAAUUAGAUAAUUAAGCUGAAUAUAACAAUUGAGCGAUCGUGCUAGAACCACGGAGCUCGGGAAUGCCUAACACCUUUUCCCGGGUUAACAGAAUUCCUUACUCGGAUUUCUGGUUCGCAAACUGUAAUACAGAGUCAAUCUUUUCCUCGAUUCAGGAUUUGAACUGGUGACUUGGGACACCAUAAAAUUAUCUCAAGUGGCGACUCUGAAUUUUUAAUAAAAUAAUCCCAUUUCGAUUGUCACUUUAAGUUGGAAAAAACUCCCUCAUCUACCCUCUCGGGGGUGUAGGUAAAAAAGAUGUGUGACAGCUGCCAUUGUUCACACAUUGAAGAUUGGAGGCAUUACUUAUAUGGUGUAUCUUGUGAGGUGUUUAAUGAUCAUCAUAGCCUCCUACACUUGUUCAAGUAUAAGGAUCUCAAUUUGAUGCAGCGGAGGUGGUUGGAGUUGCUAAAGGAUUAUGAUAUUACUAUCUUGUACCAUUUGGGGAAAGACAAUGUGGUGACCGAUGCUUUGAGCCAAAAGGCGGUGAGUGUGGUGAGUUUGGAAUAUAUUCCAGUUGGGGAGAGACCUCUUGUAGAUGAUGUUCAGGCCUUGGCCAAUCGGUUCGUAAAGUUAGAUAUUUUGGGGGCCAGUCGGGUAUUAGCUUGUGUGAUUUCUCGGUCUUCCUUAGAUGAUCGCAUCAGAGAGCGCCAAUAUAAUGAUCCUUAUUUGCUUGUCCUUAAGGAUAGAUUUCAACACGAUGAGGACAUAGAUAUGACUAUUGGUGAUGAUAGAGUGUUGAGAAUGCAGGGCUAGAUAUGUGUGCCCAAUGUAGAUGGGCUUCGGGAGUUUAUUUUGGAGGAGGCCCAUAGCUCGCGGUAUUCUAUUUAUUGGUGGAGGAGAAUGAAUAAAGACAUUGUGGGAUUUGUAGCUUGGUGUCUCAAUUGUCAUCAGGUGAAAUAUGAGCAUCAGAGACCGGGUGACUUGCUUCAAAAGAUGGAUAUUCCAGAGUGGAAGUUGGAGCGCAUCACCAUAGACUUUGUAGUUGGACUCCCACAGACUUUGAAGAAUUUCGAUGCUAUUUGGGGGAUUGGGGAUCGUCUAACCAAGUUCGCGCAAUUCAUUCCUGUGUUUACUACCUAUUCUUCAGAGCAGUUGGUAGGGAUCUAUAUCCGGGAGAUGGUUCGUUUCCAUGGUGUCCCAGUUUCCAUCAUUUCAGAUUGGGGCACUCGAUUCACUUCGUAGUUUUGGAGGUCUGUGUAGCAAGAGUUGGGUAGUCAAGUUGAGUGGAGCAAAGCUUUUCACCCUUAGACGGAGGGGCAGUCCGAGCGCACUAUUCAGAUAUUGUAGGACAUGUUACGUGCUUGUGUAAUUGAUUUCGUAGGGUCAUGGGAUCAGUUUCUACCGCUUGCAGAGUUUGCUUAUAACAACAGUUACCAGUCGAGUAUUUAGAUGGCUCUAUAUGAGGCUUUGUAUGAGAGGCGGUGUAGAUCUCCAGUUGGUUGGUUUGAGCUGGGUGAGACUAGGCUAUUGGGGACAGACUUGGUGCAGGAUGCUUUGGAAAAGGUGAAGGUGAUUCAGGAAAGGCUUCGUACAGCGUAGUCGAGACAAAAGAGUUAUGCUGACAAAAAGGUUCGGGAUGUGUCCUACAUGGUUGGUGAGAAAGUUUUGUUAAAGGUUUCACCAACGAAGGGUGUUAUGAGAUUUGGGAAGAAGGGUAAAUUGAGUCCUUGGUUCAUUGGGCCUUUUGAGGUGCUUCAGAGGAUUGGGGAGGUGGCUUAUGAGCUUUCUUUGCCACCCAGCUUGUCGAGUGUGCAUCCGGCAUUUCAUGUUUCUAUGCUCCGAAAGUAUAUUGGGGAUCUGUCUCAUGUUAUGGAUUUCAGCACGGUGCAGUUAGAUGGUGAUUUGACUUAUGAUGUGGAGCAACUAUUUUGGAGCGUCAGGUUCGAAAGUUGAGAUCAAAGUAUAUAGCUUUAGUGAAAGUGAGUCGACUCGUGGAGGAGGCUACCUGGGAGACCGAGCGGGAGAUGCGGAGAGAUAUCCUCACAUGUUUGAGGCUUCAAGUAUGUUUCUUGACUCAUUCGAGGAUGAACGUUUAUUUAAGAGGGGGAGGAUGUGAUGACCCGGCCAGUCGUCUCAUGAGUUACCGCUCUGUUUCCCCCAUUUUUGCUUCUUAUUGCUUAGUUUAUCGGUUCUAUGUAUGAUCUGGUUGGUUGGCUCAGGUUCGGAAAAGUUUUUGUAAGGUUUGAGAUACUUACUCUCUCUUGAGGAAGCUUAAGUUAGAAAAGUCAACUAGAUGUUGACUUAUGUGUUAAAGGGCUCGGAUGUGAGUUCCGAUGGUUCAGAUAUCUUCGGGAGGUGAUUUGGGACUUAGGAGCGUGAUCGGAAUGUGUUUUGGAGGUCCGGAGUAGAUUUAUACUUUAAUUAACGAAAUUGGAAUUUUGGCAUUUUCCGGUUGAUAGGUAAGAUUUUGAGAUAGGGGUCGGAAUGGAAUUCCGGGAGUUUCAGUAGUUUUGUUGUGUCAUUUGGGAUGUUUGUGCAAACUUUUAGGUCAUUCGGACAUGAUAUGGUAGACCUUUUGAUCAAAAGCGUAAUUUAGAAGAUUUUGGAAUUCUUAGGCUUGAAUCUAAUGCGAAUUUGGUGUUUUGAUGUUGUUUUGAGCAUUCCAAAUAUUGGAACAAGUUUUAAUGAUGUUAUGGGAUAUGUUGGCAUGUUUGGUUGAGGUUCCGGGGGCCUCGGGUGAGUUUCGGGUGGUCAAUCGGACCAUUUCAUGUUUUGGAAAGUUGUAGAAAUCUGUUAUUAGAUGUUGUAGAUAUUUGGCCUUCGUGUUUGAGAGUGGGCCCUCAUGUUCGCGAAGAGUUAGCAGGUGAGUUUGGAUCUUUUGCCUUCGCGUUCACGAAGGGCUGGGCCAUUGGGCAUCGCAUUCGCGAGAAGGGGAGCCGUGUUCGGAAAGGUUGAGUUGUGAACUCAUCGCGUUCGCGAGGUAGUGGUCGCGUUCGCAAAAGAGGGAAAUUUUGUCAAAGUCAGUUUAUACUUGGUGAAUGCGGUCAAAGCCUCGCGUUCACGAUGAAGGUUUUUAAUGCCUGGGCAGAAUGUUUAAAUAACCAUUUGUCCGCGAUUUUGGGGUUAACUUCCACCAUUUUUGAGAGACUUUGUAGCUUUUUGAAGAGGAUUGAAGAAAUAUUCAAGGGGGAACACUUGGAGGUAAGAUUUAUGGGCUCAAUACUCGAUUCUUAUGUGAAUUCUACCUAAUUAAUCAUGGAAUUUAAGCCUAACAUUGAAGAACUAGGGCUUGAAAUUUGAGACCUAGAAUUUGGGAUUUGAGGGUCGUUUGUGGUUGGAAUUUGCUGCUUUUGAUAUAAAUGAACUAGGGCAGUGAUAAGGAGUCUAUUGAUGUAAUUUUUAUUGGAAUUCGAGACGUGGGCCCGGGGGUCGGGUUUGGCCAAUUUCGGGAUUUGUAUUGUAAUUUGAUUUCUUUCAGGUGGGCUUUGUCCCUUAGCAUAUUUUGAUGGUUUGCAAAGAUUUUGGUUAGAUUUGGAGCAUCCGGAUGUCGAUUCGAGAGGAAAAGGCAUCAAGAGCUAGAGAUUUUGACAGAAUAGAGGUGAGUAAUGAUUGUAAAUGUUGUCCUGAGGGUAUGAAACCCCGGAUUUAACAUCGCUGUGCUAUAUUGAGGUGAUGCACAUGCUAAAUGACGAGCGUGAGGUCGUGCACCAUUGAGGAUUGUGACUUAGUCCAUCCCGAAUGAUUAUUUUACCGCGUAUUUGAUUGAAAACUAUUUGCUAUCAUCAUGUUUUGGGCAUCGUGCCAUCUAUUUAGACCAUAGGGGAUUUUUACUGAUAUUUCCUCACUAUUUUGACUGUAUACUUAUACUCAUUCAUGCUAUAUUCUACUAUUUUUCAUAACUCAGUCAUGUUUACUCUAUGUUAAAUAUUAAAUGAUAUUUUAAAUGAUAAAUUGGAUUGAGCAUCAUGUUUUACUAUUGCUUGAGUGGCUUAAGAGAUUCUGACUAAGUAAGGCCGAUGGCCUGUUUUGUGAGGAUACACUGAUUUAUGAUUAUGAGGCCAAGGGCCUGAGAUUGUAUGCCACGAGGUGGCUUGAUAUUGCAUUUGGGCCGUAAGAAGCCCCUCCUUGAGUCUGUACACCCCCAGUGAGCGCGAGUACCCAUUGUGAUAUGAGAUAUAGCCCUGAGGGCUGGUGUUGUUAUACGAUAUUGCCCGAAGGGCGGAUUCUAUUGACAUUAUGUCCGAGGGGCGGAUUUUUAGGUGUUUAUAUGUUCUAGCUGCUUCUCAUUUAAUUGUUAAACUAUUAAAAAGGUAUUUAAAAGAAGCUUCUUCUGAAUUAAAUGUUUUUAGAUGUUUUCACUGUUUCAUUGCUUUUACUGGUUUUAUACUGCUUCUCUAUAGCAUGUUGAUGUGCUUUUACAUGAUUUCUUAUCGCUCAGUCUUCAUUUAUUAUUAUUACUCACUGAGUUAGAGUACUCACUUUACUCCCUGCAUCCCGUGUGCAUAUUAACGCGCUUCAGGUCCUACUUGCAAGGGUUGAGAGCUUCCAGCAGACUUCGGAGAUUCACUAGGUAGUUGCCCGGUGUUCGCAACCCAAUGCUUCUCCCUCUAUCUUAUUUUCUCUUAUUUUAGUUAUGUAAUAGUUGUGUAGACUCUUUCAGGCAUGUAGUUUUUAUGAUAGAUGCUCAUGAUUGGUGACACCUCGAUGUCGGGCUAUGUCUAUUUUACAACUGUAGCAUUCACCUUAUUUGGGGAUUUUAUUAUGUUAAAGUCUUAGUAUUUAUUAUUAUAAUUGCUUAAAAAUGAAUUUGAAUUGUGUCGGCUGGACUUAUCUUCAUGAGAGGCGCCAUCAUGACCGAGUCUGGGUUUAGAGUCGUGACAUUCAUAAGGUUAUCUUGGGUGUAAAUCCUGCUAGGAUUAUGUCAUAAUUAUCAAAUAUGAGUUUCGAGAUCAUCUAGGACUAACUCAGGCUAGGAGAACUGCUGCCCUUUUACUUGCAUCAGAAUUUAGUUACUUUUCUCAAAAGGUUUAGGAGCUCGGGGAGAGGAUAUUUUUGAGAGAUAUUUUCAUCUACUUCAAUGGGUUAGGAAACCUAACUCGAAUUAACGAUUAUAACAUGAAUCUAUUAUUGAUUUAGGCUCUAAAUAACGAAAUUUUAAAGAAGUUUGGCUUGAGAGAUAAGAAAGUUGAGUUUUGAACAUCGAUUCGGGGUCAGAUUUGAGUGAUAUUAAUAUGAUCAAACUUAGAUUUAUGGAUUUUAUCGGGUUUUGGGAAGCGGGCCUAGGUUGAAUUUUUGGUUGACUUUGAGUAUUUAAUUAAAGAUUCAACUUUUAUUGUUUGGGUUGGUUUCCUACGAUAUUAUUUGAUGUUUUCGAGUUAUUUUCUACUAGAUUCGAGCUGCUCGGAUAUCGAUUCAUGCAGGAUGACCUUUUAGAGUAUUAUUUUGGUUUGUUUUAGGUAAGUUUCUUCUCUAGAUUUGUUGGGAAUUUUUUUUCUAAUAAAAUAAUAUUGCUUACUAUAUGCGAGGGCGAUGUAUAAGCGAGGUGAGGAGUGUAUAUGCAUGUACCAGGGUCAUACAUGGUUGGGGGUAGAUUACAUGAUUCUUUGUUCCUUGUUAGACUUUGCGAAUUCCUUGCCUCAUUUUUACUUGACUUGUAUAAUAUUAUGAGCACAAUUUCAUCGCCAGACCAUGCUUCAGCCUACUACAACUUGAUUAAAUAUGAUGGACCCUUGUAAAAUUGUUGAUGUGCUAAAUUUGGUCAUAAGUAUAACUAAAUUAUUAUACAUUUCUAUGUCUAUUAUGCUUCGGAUACUUGGGUUCCAUACUUAUAUGGAAGAUCAUGUUUGAGUUUUGAUUGUUGUUCACGUGGUGUAUUUUGCUUAACCACUUUUGUUGAUGUUAUCCAUGCUUCCCACCUUACUUGUUGUUGAUGUAUAUAUGUUUGAUAAGGAAGAGUGUUAAGCACGAAGGAUGAUGUCGUGCAAUAUAUUUAUAUUUGUAUGUGAGGAUGAGAAUAAAAGCACGAAGGAAGAGGUCAUGCAUUGUUGCAUUAUCAUGUGACGAUGAGAGUAAAAGCACAAAAGGUGAUAUCCUGCCAUUAUUUAAAAGCAUGAAUGGUGAUGUCGUGCCAUUGUUUUACAUUAUCAUGUGAGAAAAAAAGUAAAAGGAUGAAGAGUAAUACUGUGCAAUUAUUGUAUAUUAUAAUGUAAGGACGAAAAUUCAUGGCACGAAGAGUGUUUUCGUGCGGCCGAGGAUGAGAGCAUACUUUAUAUUGUGUUAUCUUUUUCUUGUUUAUAUAUUUAUGCCUUUAUCCUAAGUUGUUAAAAUUUCACCUAUGCUUUCUAUGGUUCUUGAUUGCUGUCACGUCUUUGCCUUCUACCUUAUUUGUUAUUGUUUUAUGCACGUCUUCUAUUUGUUUAUCACUAUUAUAUUCAUGAUGUCCUUCUUAUUUAUUAUACCUAUAUCUAUGCUUUAUCUCUCAUUUGUUGUGGUUUCAUUUGAACCUUCUAUCUUGAUAACUAUUCAAAUCUAUAUUUUCCUACCUUAUUUGCUAUCAUUACUUUGGUGCCCCCUACCUUGUCAUUACCGUUAUCCACUUGCUUCUGCUUGUUUGUUACUGCUAUGUGUGUGUUUUCUACUUUAUUGUUACUGCCAUUUGUAUUCCAUCUACUUGGUUAGUACUAUUAUACAAAUGCUUGGCGAGGAUGAGAUAAAUGCAUGAAGGGAGUUGUCGUGCCAUUUGAUUUAACAUACAUGAACAUGUUGGGUUAGGAUGAAAUAAAAUGCAAGAAGGGUGUUGCCAUGCCAUUUGAUUGGAUAUCUCGAACAUAUUCCUCAUAUUAGGAAAAUUAUUGAUUUUACUAUAUUACUUUGGUGGUUAUCGCUUUAACCUCAUGUCUUGAGCUGUUAGAAAAUGAUUGGUUAUGAUAUUAAGGAAACUGCCCGUAAUUCUUUUAGUUAAUCAUUUACUACUUCUCAUAUUUAUUCUUGUAAUCUACUUUGUUCUUUCGAGUGUUGUUUCUACAGUAAAUUUAACUGAACAGGCUAUAUAGUGAGUAUCUUGUAACUUAAAAUCUCGUCACUACUUUACUGAGGUUAGUCAAGAUACAUACUGACUACAUGGGGUCGGUUGUACUCAUAUUGCACUUCUGUAUCUUGCGUGCAGAUUUUGGAGUUGUGUAGCUGUGGAAGACAGAACCUUACAUUGGAGACAUACCAACAUACCAGAUUCAUGCUACCUUCUUUAUCAUGGCAACUUAGGAUUUUAUUUCUGUUGAUAUAGCUUUCGAACAGAUGUUGUAUUUAUUCAUUUCACCAGCUUGUAAAUCUAAAUCAUAGUGGCUCAUGACUUGUACUACCAGUCUUUGGGAUAGUUAUACAUGAUUCAGAUGCAGUUUUAUUAUAUAUACUAGUUCUGGGUAUGCGCUUUGCGCCUGUACUCCAUAUCGAUGGAUAGACUAUUAGUAUAAAUCAAAUAAAUA